UGGUGACAGAGCGAGACUCUGUCUCAAAAAAUAAAAUAAAAUAAACCCUCUUUUGUAACCCAGAACUCAUUGUUCAGUAUGAGUUUUGAUACAUAUACGAAGGGAUAUU
Molecule: small nucleolar RNA, 109 nt
Filed under: Aotus nancymaae (Ma's night monkey)
Lineage: Eukaryota; Metazoa; Chordata; Mammalia; Primates; Aotidae
Description: Small nucleolar RNA SNORA40 (ENSANAG00000001254.1)
Rfam family: Small nucleolar RNA SNORA40 (bases 32-109)
About the family: The snoRNA ACA 40 belongs to the H/ACA family of snoRNAs and guides the pseudouridylation of 28S rRNA subunit at position U4565.
Source: RNAcentral